GGACUUGUGGUGUAGUUGGUUAUUAGGUCAGUCUAACACAGCGAAAGUCCCCAGUUCAAAGCUAGGUUCGAUCG
Molecule: non-coding RNA, 74 nt
Organism: Schizothecium vesticola
Lineage: Eukaryota; Fungi; Ascomycota; Sordariomycetes; Sordariales; Schizotheciaceae
Source: the annotation of a GenBank genome assembly